This 253-nucleotide ribosomal RNA is filed under the name uncultured bacterium. RNAcentral describes it as "partial 16S ribosomal RNA". It matches the Rfam family "Bacterial small subunit ribosomal RNA", at positions 524 to 776 of the family's 1533-position model. RNAcentral also lists the same sequence under 1 other name. The record is from RNAcentral.
UACGAGGGGGGCAAAUGUUGUUCGGAAUCACUGGGCGUAAAGGGAGCGUAGGCGGGUUCUUAAGUAAGGUGUUUAAUCCCGGGGCCCAACCCCGGACCGGCACUUUAAACUGGGAAUCUUGAAUAGGGGAGAGGUCAGUGGAAUUGGAGGUGUAGCGGUGGAAUGCGUAGAGAUCUCCAAGAACACCAGUUGCGAAGGCGGCUGACUGGACCCAUAUUGACGCUGAGGCUCGAAAGCAUGGGGAGCAAACAGG